AGCAGCCGCGGUAAUUCCAGCUCCAAUAGCGUAUAUUAAAGUUGUUGCAGUUAAAAAGCUCGUAGUUGAAUUUCGGGAUCAAAGGAUCGGUCAUGCCUUGGUAUGUACUGGUUUUAUUGGUUCUCACCUUCUAAAGAACCAUAAUGUCAUUCAUUUUGAUGUUAUGAGGAAUUAGGACUGUUACCUUGAAAAAAUUAGAGUGUUUAAAGCAGGCUCACGCUUGAACACAUUAGCAUGGAAUAAUGGAAUAGGACGUUUGAUUCUAUUUUGUUGGUUUCUAGGAUCGACGUAAUGAUUAAUAGGGAUAGUUGGGGGCAUUAGUAUUCAAUUGUCAGAGGUGAAAUUCUUGGAUUUAUUGAAGACUAACUACUGCGAAAGCAUUUGCCAAGGAUGUUCCAUUAAUCAAGAACGAAAGUUAGGGAUCGAAGACGAUCAGAUACCGUCGUAGUC
Molecule: ribosomal RNA, 450 nt
Filed under: uncultured Glomeromycotina
Lineage: Eukaryota; Fungi; Glomeromycota
Description: SSU rRNA
Rfam family: Eukaryotic small subunit ribosomal RNA
Source: RNAcentral